AAAACUCCCUUGACGGUACUUAAUGAAUAAGCCCUGGCUAAUUAUGUGCCAGCAGCCGCGGUAAUACAUAAGGGGCGAGCGUUAUCCGGAAUUAUUGGGCGUAAAGGGUGCGUAGGCGGUUUAAUAAGUCUAUAGUUUAAUUUCAGCGCUUAACGCUGUUGCGCUAUAGAAACUGUUUUACUAGAGUGAGUUAGAGGCAAGCGGAAUUCCAUGUGUAGCGGUAAAAUGCGUAAAUAUAUGGAGGAACACCAGAGGCGUAGGCGGCUUGCUGGGACUUUACUGACGCUGAGGCACGAAAGCGUGGGGAGCAAACAGGAUUAGAUACCCUGGUAGUCCACGCCGUAAACGAUGAGUACUAAGUGUCGGGUAAAACCGGUACUGAAGUUAACACAUUAAGUACUCCGCCUGAGUAGUACGUACGCAAGUAUGAAACUUAAAGGAAUUGACGGGACUCCGCACAAGCGGUGGAUCAUGUUGUUUAAUUCGAAGAUACACGAAAAACCUUACCAGGUCUUGACAUUUUCUUGCGAAGUUAUAGAAAUAUAAUGGAGGUUAUCAGGAAAACAGGUGGUGCAUGGUUGUCGUCAGCUCGUGUCGUGAGAUGUUAGGUUAAGUCCUAAAACGAGCGCAACCCUUGUCGUUAAUUGCCAGCAUGUAAUGAUGGGGACUUUAACGAGACUGCCAAUGAAAAAUUGGAGGAAGGUGGGGAUUACGUCAAAUCAUCAUGCCCCUUAUGAUCUGGGCUACAAACGUGAUACAAUGGUUGAUACAAAGAGUAGCUGAAACGCGAGUUCUUAGCCAAUCUCACAAAAUCAUCUCCAGUUUCGGAAAU
Molecule: ribosomal RNA, 832 nt
Filed under: Cassava frogskin disease phytoplasma
Lineage: Bacteria; Bacillati; Mycoplasmatota; Mollicutes; Acholeplasmatales; Acholeplasmataceae
Description: bacterial SSU rRNA
Rfam family: Bacterial small subunit ribosomal RNA
Source: RNAcentral